GCAAUCUACCUUUCACAGAGGGAUAGCCCAGAGAAAUUUGGAUUAAUACCUCUUAGUAUAUAUGGAUGGCAUCAUUUAUAUAUUAAAGUCACAACGGUGAAAGAUGAGCAUGCGUCCCAUUAGCUAGAUGGUAAGGUAACGGCUUACCAUGGCAACGAUGGGUAGGGGUCCUGAGAGGGAGAUCCCCCACACUGGUACUGAGACACGGACCAGACUCCUACGGGAGGCAGCAGUGAGGAAUAUUGGUCAAUGGGCGCAAGCCUGAACCAGCCAUGCCGCGUGCAGGAUGACGGUCCUAUGGAUUGUAAACUGCUUUUGUACGAGAAGAAACAACAUUACGUGUAAUGUCUUGACGGUAUCGUAAGAAUAAGGAUCGGCUAACUCCGUGCCAGCAGCCGCGGUAAUACGGAGGAUCCAAGCGUUAUCCGGAAUCAUUGGGUUUAAAGGGUCCGUAGGCGGUUUGGUAAGUCAGUGGUGAAAGCCCAUCGCUCAACGGUGGAACGGCCAUUGAUACUGCCAGACUUGAAUAAUUAGGAAGUAACUAGAAUAUGUAGUGUAGCGGUGAAAUGCUUAGAGAUUACAUGGAAUACCAAUUGCGAAGGCAGGUUACUACUAAUUGAUUGACGCUGAUGGACGAAAGCGUGGGUAGCGAACAGGAUUAGAUACCCUGGUAGUCCACGCCGUAAACGGUGGAUACUAGCUGUUGGAAGCAAUUUCAGUGGCUAAGCGAAAGUGGUAAGUAUCCCACCUGGGGAGUACGUUCGCAAGAAUGAAACUCAAAGGAAUUGACGGGGGCCCGCACAAGCGGCGGAGCAUGUGGUUUAAUUCGAUG
RNAcentral lists this ribosomal RNA (832 nucleotides) under uncultured Bacteroidota bacterium. RNAcentral describes it as "bacterial SSU rRNA". It matches the Rfam family "Bacterial small subunit ribosomal RNA", at positions 121 to 956 of the family's 1533-position model. Lineage: Bacteria; Pseudomonadati; Bacteroidota. The record is from RNAcentral.